Long non-coding RNA from Esox lucius (northern pike), 505 nucleotides. RefSeq lists it as uncharacterized. The transcript is spliced from 4 exons. The record is from RefSeq and is a predicted model, not a curated record. Lineage: Eukaryota; Metazoa; Chordata; Actinopteri; Esociformes; Esocidae.
ACUUUUACCAAAAGGAUAACAUGGGAUUUGGCAUCACCAGCUGUAGGUGUCUAAAAAUACCCAGGACUUAACUUCCAACUAAGCUUAACUUUUACCACAAGGACAACGUUGUGCUAGCUGGAGCACAGUGUCAAUUCCAUUACAGAGAAGAAUCUUGUAAUAGCAAUUGUAACAUUGAUGGAAUUUUGUUUUUUUAUACAGAUCAAUACACGUGGCACGUUGUUGACGGAACACAGCACCAGCGUGCAGACGACAACAUCCACCGACUUGUCUUCGACUACGGUCAAGUCUUCUCCUGAUGCAACGACAAAGCGUUCAUAGGGAGGGUGACCAUCUUCGAUUAAGAAGAUCUUCAAUCUUGGAUUGAUGCUGGACAGCAUUUACCAUGACUUUUUCAAACCACGGCCUAGUACAUAGUCGUGGAGGAGCUCCCCUUACCUGAACAGUCUGGACCUGAGGGGACUGAAUGACUGACGGAGCCGACUGGAUCACCCCCUGAACCUGG